This 305-nucleotide ribosomal RNA is filed under the name uncultured bacterium. RNAcentral describes it as "bacterial SSU rRNA". It matches the Rfam family "Bacterial small subunit ribosomal RNA", at positions 333 to 637 of the family's 1533-position model. The record is from RNAcentral.
GUGUUCCUACGGGGGGCAGCAGUGGGGAAUAUUGCACAAUGGGCGCAAGCCUGAUGCAGCGACGCCGCGUGCGGGAUGGAGGCCUUCGGGUUGUAAACCGCUUUUGUUCAAGGGCAAGGCACGGUCUUUGGCCGUGUUGAGUGGAUUGUUCGAAUAAGCACCGGCUAACUACGUGCCAGCAGCCGCGGUAAUACGUAGGGUGUAAGCGUUAUCCGGAUUUAUUGGUCGUAAAGGGCUCGUAGGCGGUUCGUCGCGUCCGGUGUGAAAGUCCAUCGCUUAACGGGGGAUCCGCGCCGGGGACGGGG